AUUGAACGCUGGCGGCAUGCCUUACACAUGCAAGUCGAACGGCAGCACGGGAGCAAUCCUGGUGGCGAGUGGCGAACGGGUGAGUAAAGUAUCGGAACGUGCCCAGUCGUGGGGGAUAACGUAGCGAAAGUUACGCUAAUUCCGCAUACGAUCUAUGGAUGAAAGCGGGGGAUCGCACGACCUCGCGCGAUUGGGGCGGCCGAUAUCAAAUUAGGUAGUUGGCGGGGUAAAGGCUCACCAAGCCGACGAUCUGUAGCUGGUCUGAGAGGACGAACAGUCACACUGGGACUGAGACACGGCCCAGACUCCUACGGGAGGCAGCAGUGGGGAAUUUUGGACAAUGGGCGAAAGCCUGAUCCAGCCAUGCCGCGUGCAGGAUGAAGGCCUUCGGGUUGUAAACUGCUUUUGUACGGAACGAAAAGGUUUGGCCUAAUAAGCUGAGCUCAUGACGGUACCGUAAGAAUAAGCACCGGCUAACUACGUGCCAGCCGCCGCGGUAA
RNAcentral lists this ribosomal RNA (500 nucleotides) under uncultured bacterium. RNAcentral's name for it is "partial 16S ribosomal RNA". It matches the Rfam family "Bacterial small subunit ribosomal RNA", at positions 30 to 523 of the family's 1533-position model. The record is from RNAcentral.